GUCUGAAAUGGCCGCCCCUGGGCUCUGCCUCCCGGCGGCUGGAGGGCUCUCACCUCGGAGCUCCUGCUACCCACUGGCCUCGCCCUGGGUCCCCGUCCUUCUCCCUGCGGAUGCUGCCUGGAGCUGGCGGUAACCUGUUGCAGUGUUGUGCAAUCUGUGAUACCGAAAUCAGAGCAGAGAGUGUCUUCUUGACGCGGCGGCUCACCGGCCAGAGCCCUAGGGCCAGUUGAAGCGGCUGCCCGCCAGCAGCGAGUCCCGGAUGCAGUGAGUGGGGAGGACUUCGAAAGCGUGAGAGACUGGAGUCAGACCCUGGGAAGAACCAGCAGACAGAAAGCAGGUAUGGGGUGUGCAUUUAUCCUGAGGCUGGAACCCCUUCUACCCCUACCCCGAGACCACCGCCCCCCCUCCCCGUGUGGAGUCUGGAGAAACUGCAGGGCAUUGGAGUUUAGGGCCGUGCUGCUUGGACUGUGUCUGCCCUGGGCCAGGCUGGGGCUUCUGGGGAGGGAACAAGUGUGGGGUCCCCAUGGGCUCAGGCUGCCCGGCUCCUGCCUUAAGCAAACAGAGGCAGGGGUGGGAGCAACAGAAACCACAUAAAUGUGUGUAUGUGCGUGUGUGUUUGUGCAUGUGUGUGCAUGUAUGUGUGUGUCUGUGUGUGUGUCUGUGUAUUUCUUCAGGACGCAGUGGCCAGGCCUGGGCCGGGGGACCGGGCCCUGGCCACAGCUGUAAUUGGAUUCCUGCGCCAGUACAGGGUGCAAUGGCCCUGGUCUUGUGGUUAGCAGGUGCCAACCCCAGGCCCCACCGGCUGACUGCAGGGAGGAUGGGGGCCGCUCACCCUCCUUCCGCAGGCAGCAGGGCUGGGGUGCCAUUCACCCACCUACCGCCCGCCCCCACCAGGCUGCAGCGGGGCUGGGGGCCACUCACCCUCCUUCUGCACAACCCCCCCUGGAAGCACUUCUUGAGCCGGCAGGACUGGCACUGGUCACGCUGAUGUUGGUCCAUCUGACAGUCCCAAUUGGACCUGCAGGUGUAGCAGUGUUAGGAGCUGAUUGUCUAAUGAAUAUACAGGGUGUGUGUUUUUAAAGCCUGAUAAUUUUAGACAUAACUUUCUCCACGUUUUAUAUUUCUAUAUUUUAGUUUUCGUGUAUCCAUUUGAAAGGCAGAGAGUAAUUAUACUGUGUGUGUGUGGCAGGAACCCAAUUCCUUGAGCCCUCCUGUGCUGCCUCCCAGCGUCUGCAUUAGCAGGAAGUUGAAGACAGAAAUGGAAACAACACUCAGAGGCCCUCAUUCCAUUGUAGCAAGGUUGUCUCAAGGAAAUUCUUAACCACUUGGCCAAAUGCUCCCUCCUGCUUACUACUUUUUAAACACCACUCUCUUACAUUACAUAGGCCCAGGAUCACAAAAAUUACCAAUUCCAAUGUUGGCAAAGCCAAUGAAAAUGGAGCUCUCACAAAGAAAAUGAAAGCCAAGCAAAUUAUUUAAUUAGAAGUAUUAGCUUGAAUAAAAUAAUACUUUGAGUUUCGUGUUUCAUCAGGUUAGAUAAGUGAUGGAUUUUCAAUAGCAAUAUACACUGAACAUAAAAAAGAUGUACAAAUAUUUUCAACCAUCAGUAUUACACAUUUGCAAAAGCAGUGGAUGCUUGAAUAGUUCUACAAAAAUGUGUUCCAAAAUCAUGUGAUUAGUCUUUAAAUAAAGGAAAUGAAUGUUUAUCUCAAUGAACCAUUUCCAAAAGGGCAGAAAUACAAAAUAAAGCCCCUAACAUGAACUGGAUAUGACAAUAAUUAUCUUUGAAAAUUCAUUUUGUUUUAAGAACUGUUUCUGAAAACUAUUUUUUAAAAAGUAAACAAUAUUUUAAUGGGGAAUUACUAACCAUGAUAUAAUAAAAUAUUUUCUGGAAUUCUUGAUCACAGUUUGAAGCCAGAUUUAAUUUAAAAAGUUACUAAAGGUGGGAAAUAAGGCAUACAAGAAAAACUAUUUUUAAUUUUUAAAUGUAUCUAUAUCUUUAAGCAUAUCAAAUGUCAAAAUGAGAUUAUUGAGAAAACACAUGGUAAUAGAGAAUUAUUAGAUUUAUUUCAAAAAUUCUUAUUGAAUUUUUUAUAGGCUCUCAAAACUUGAUGUAGCAAUCUAUUUUUUCUGGGACCACUUUUGUUCCUUUGUCCACUCCUGUUAGCAUUAUUUGGCAAAAGUUGAAUGUUGAGGUACACGUGAGAGAAUUAUUACUCAAUUUUCCUGGCCAGUUUUAGGUAAGAAAUCAGGAAACAACCACAACCACCACAACAAACACCACUUUCUCAAGAGCAUUUGCAGAUCAGUUCUGCAGACUUCAAAUGUUUUCAGGUUUGGAAUGUUUAGACUACCGCUCUCAUGCUAAAUUCUCAGUGGCUUUCUUUUUAUUUCUGAAUUGCUUUUUACAAAAAGAAUGCAGCAUAAGGAACUGACAGCAAAAUACACUGUUCCCCAGAUGGUUCCAAUAAUAACUAUGCCAAUUGUUUGUAUUUAUAUUGCAAACAUCAUAUUUUCACCUAAGUAUCACUUACCUCAAAUGUUAACUGAAUAGUUUUAUAGAAUUGUUUUUUAAGAUUUAUUUUCUUUGAAAGGCAGAGUUAUUCUACAAAAAGUAACGGAUAUCAUCAAUACAAGCAUAAUUUUAAUUCCUUCAAGUGAUUGAUAGAAAGGUAUGUUUUGUACCUUUAAUUUGAACAGGAUCUCCCCAAAAUUAAAUUAGAUAUAUUGUUUACCAGUGUGAUAAAAUGUAUCUCACAAAGAGAAAAUAUGAUACAAAAAUAUA
Non-coding RNA from Oryctolagus cuniculus (rabbit), 2785 nucleotides. Lineage: Eukaryota; Metazoa; Chordata; Mammalia; Lagomorpha; Leporidae. The record is from RefSeq and is a predicted model, not a curated record.